CGGGAAUUAUUGGGCGUAAGCGCGCGCAGGUGGUUUCUUAAGUCUGAUGUGAAAGCCCACGGCUCAACCGUGGAGGGUCAUUGGAAACUGGGAGACUUGAGUGCAGAAGAGGAAAGUGGAAUUCCAUGUGUAGCGGUGAAAUGCGUAGAGAUAUGGAGGAACACCAGUGGCGAAGGCGACUUUCUGGUCUGUAACUGACACUGAGGCGCGAAAGCGUGGGGAGCAAACAGGAUUAGAUACCCUGGUAGUCCACGCCGUAAACGAUGAGUGCUAAGUGUUAGAGGGUUUCCGCCCUUUAGUGCUGAAGUUAACGCAUUAAGCACUCCGCCUGGGGAGUACGGCCGCAAGGCUGAAACUCAAAGGAAUUGACGGGGGCCCGCACAAGCGGUGGAGCAUGUGGUUUAAUU
RNAcentral lists this ribosomal RNA (407 nucleotides) under Bacillus cereus. Its description in RNAcentral is "bacterial SSU rRNA". It matches the Rfam family "Bacterial small subunit ribosomal RNA", at positions 545 to 951 of the family's 1533-position model. Lineage: Bacteria; Bacillati; Bacillota; Bacilli; Caryophanales; Bacillaceae. The record is from RNAcentral.